Molecule: ribosomal RNA, 459 nt
Filed under: uncultured bacterium
Lineage: Bacteria
Description: partial 16S ribosomal RNA
Rfam family: Bacterial small subunit ribosomal RNA
Source: RNAcentral
CCUACGGGUGGCAGCAGUGAGGAAUAUUGGUCAAUGGUCGGGAGACUGAACCAGCCAAGCCGCGUGAGGGAUGAAGGUACAGAGUAUCGUAAACCUCUUUUGUCAGGGAACAAAGGCGGGGACGCGUCCCCGGAUGAGUGUACCCGAAGAAAAAGCAUCGGCUAACUCCGUGCCAGCAGCCGCGGUAAUACUGAGGAUGCGAGCGUUAUACGGAUUUAUUGGGUUUAAAGGGUGCGCAGGCGGUAUGUUAAGUCAGCGGUAAAAGCCCGGGGGUCAACCCCGGCCCGCCGUUGAAACUGGGUUUCUCGAGUUGGAGAGAAGUAUGCGGAAUUCGUGGUGUGGCGGUGAAAUGCAUAGAUAUCGCGCAGAACUCCGAUUGCGAAGGCAGCAUGCCGGCUCCACACUGACGCUGAGGCACGAAAGCGUGGGUAUCGAACAGGAUUAGAUACCCGAGUAGUC